ACCCCAUCUAGAGAAUGGCUCGGCUCGAGUGCCGAUGAAGGUCGUGACAAGCUGCGAUAAGCUGCGGGUAGGUGCAUGAAUUCCUUUGAUCCGCAGAUCACCUAAUGGGACCUCCUGAACCACGAGUUCAUUCGCAUAAGCGAAAGGGAACCCCCCGAAUUGAAGCAUCUUAGUAGGGGGAGGAAAAGAAAUCAAUGAGAUUCCGUAAGUAGUGGCGAACGAAAACGGAAUAGGACAGGCCGAAUCCCGAAUGGAAACUGAGGGAGAUGUGGUUGCGUUUUUGCCUAAGUCUACGAAGAGGAAGUCGCCUGGAACGGCGCAUCCAUAGAGGGUGAAAGUCCCGUACUCGUAGUAGAUAUGGACAUGUAACGUAAACAGAGUAGCGUGCGUCGGAUAUCGCGCGUGAAUAUGGGAGGCAGAUACUUCCAAUCCUAAAUACAACUCGAGACCGAUAGUUUACAAGUAGCGUGAGUGAAAGCUGAAAAGUAUCCUUGACGGGAUGUGAAAAGAACCUGAAACUAGAUGGGUACAGGCUGAUGAGGCGUUAAAGCGAUAAUGUGAUUUAUUUCACUAGCAGCGUUUCAUCGUGCGUUUCGAAAAAUGCCCCUGGGAGUCUUGAUCAACGGCGAGGUUAAGCGGUAGAACCGCGAAGCCGAAGGGAAACCGACAAGUCCGCAGCCUUAGGGUGAGGGACGAGGUGUGCUCGCCUGGAGUCGUUGGUGGAGGACCUGAAGCCCGUCGAUCUAUGCCUGGCCAGAUUGAAGCCCGGUGAAAACUGGGUGGAGGAUCGAACCGUUGCUGAUGUGCAAAUCGCUCGGAGGAGUUGGGUAUAGGGGUGAAAGUCCAAUCGAGAUGGGCAAUAGCAGGUUCCGCGUGAGACUACUCGUAGGUAGACGUUCGUGGAGAUGGAUAGUGAUGUAGAGCACUGAUUGUGCGUUUAGGGGAAGCGAUUCCUCGGCGUGNUGUCAAACUCCGAAGUUGCUAUCGUCGNAGAAGCGAGCAGUGAGUGAUGGUGGGUAAGCUACCAUUACAAAAGGUGAUCAAACCAGCCUAAUGUUAAGGUCCCUAAGUUACGGUUAAGUGUUAAAUUAAACAGUGUCUAUGGUCAAAAACAACCAGAAGGUGGGCUUAGAAGCAGCCACCCUUUAAAGAGUUCGUAACAGAUCACUGGUCUAGUUUGUAGGCCUGAAAAAUGGACGGGGCUAAAACCGUACACCGAUACAUUAGUCCACCGCAAGGUGAUGAGGUAACGCGGCGUGGUGCUUGGGCGGAAGCAAGGUUUUGAGAUCUUGUGGACCGAGUACCAAUGAGAAUCUAGGGAAGAGUAGCAGCAUAGUGUGGUGAGAAUCCGCACCGCCGAAGGGGCCAGGGUUCCUCGGCAAUGUUUGUCAGCCGAGGGUUAGCCGGUCCUAAGAUUACUCUUAACAUAAGUAAUCGAAUGGGAAUUGCGUUAAUAUUCGUAAGCUAUCCUACAAUAAUGGUGACAGUUCGGGCUAGUUCGUCAGAUCAUAUAUCAGGUCUGCGAAGCGUCUCAUAACUUUCUGGAGAACCGUCAUGGUGAGAAGGAGAGGAAGGCGUGAGUGAGAUAUCGAAUGAGGCCUGGGCUCCAUGAAAAACCGUAGUGAUAUCCGUACCAAGAACUGACACAGGUGCCCCUGGGUGAGUAGCCUAAGGUGUCUCGGGUAAAGUAUCGUGAGGGAAUUCGGCAAAAUGGCUCCGUAACUUCGGGAGAAGGAGUGCCAGCUUAGAGAUAAGCUGGUCGCAGUGACUAGGGAGCUCCGACUGUUUAAUAAAAACAUAGGGGACUGCUAGAUCGAAAGGUUGUGUAUAGUCCCUGAAUCCUGCUCAGUGCUGGUAUCUGAAANNGGGUUUCAACCUNGCGAAGGACCAGUAAACAGCGGGGGUAACUAUGACCCUCUUAAGGUAGCGUAAUACCUUGUCGCUUAAUUGGCGACUUGCAUGAAUGGUCCAACGAGGGCUCCACUGUCCCCGCGAUA
This 1997-nucleotide ribosomal RNA is filed under the name Methanobacteriota archaeon. RNAcentral describes it as "bacterial LSU rRNA". It matches the Rfam family "Archaeal large subunit ribosomal RNA", at positions 15 to 2106 of the family's 2987-position model. Lineage: Archaea; Methanobacteriati; Methanobacteriota. The record is from RNAcentral.